UAUUCGGUUGUUAAAGGGGGGGUGAAAUGCUCAUUUUCACUCAAUCUCCUGUUAAUCUUGAGUACCUAUAGAGUAGUACUGCAUCCUUCAUAUCUCCAAAAAGUCUUUAGUUUUAUUAUAUUUAUAAAAGAAAAAUAGUCUGUGCCGAUUUUUUUCGGAAAAACACGAGCGUCUGGAGGCGUGACGUGUGGGCGGAGCUAAAGAAUCACGAGCGCGAGUAGGCUUUUGCGUUGAGAGCGUUUGGAAGUUGUGACAUUACCGUGAGGAAAAAAAAAACAAUCCAAAACAAACCAUGGCUAACAGUCAGAUUCAGCCGUUUAUUUAUGAUCCAGAAUCAGAUCACGAGGCUGAAACUGAACGAGAGCAGCAGCAGCAAUGACUACAGCAGGACGUCUCUAUGUGUACAAGGUUUACUUGAUGUGCUUACGCGCCGAUAGCUAAGUUAACAACACAGAGAUAUAUGAAGCAGUUUUACUCACCGCCUGCGGUUCCAACACACGAUCGUGACCCUUUUUCGUUGGGAUUGCAUCAUCCUUAAGAAAUAAACGAUAUGCAAAUCCGUCGUCAAACUGGGCCUUGUUUCUAAAACAAGCAUCUUCGAAAUGCAGGGAACAAACAAAAACACUU
Long non-coding RNA from Carassius carassius (crucian carp), 627 nucleotides. RefSeq lists it as uncharacterized. The transcript has 2 exons. The record is from RefSeq and is a predicted model, not a curated record. Lineage: Eukaryota; Metazoa; Chordata; Actinopteri; Cypriniformes; Cyprinidae.